Aphis gossypii (cotton aphid) is the source of this 675-nucleotide long non-coding RNA. RefSeq lists it as uncharacterized. The record is from RefSeq and is a predicted model, not a curated record. NCBI's taxonomy places the organism in Eukaryota, Metazoa, Arthropoda, Insecta, Hemiptera, Aphididae. The transcript is spliced from 2 exons.
UAUAUAAAUAUACACAUUUGAACUAAUUAAACUGAAAUUAAAAUCCAUAUUUUUCAAAUUUAAUUCAUAAAUAAUUUUCAUCUAAUUUUAGUAUUUUUGCUUAAGUAUUAACUAUAUUUUAGUUAAUAGUCGAUUUCGUUUUAAUAUAAAUUGACUACUCAUACGAAAUUCAUCUGUGUUAAAUUUGGUUGCCUAAUGCUAACAUUUAGCAUAAUACGUGUGAAUAAUUAAUAUUUUUUAUUUUCUGAUUUAGUGAAUAGAUGAUAUUUCCAAAGCAUUAAAUUUACAUAGCUGCCCCACCUUGCAUUGCUGUUGUUUUUAUCAUUUAAUAAUAGUUAGAUUUUUUUUAAACGAUCCAAAUUUGAUUUCCUUUUCAUUCUGGACCAAUAACCAACAAAUCAUUGAAUAGUGUAAAUAAUAAAAUAGUGAAAAGUUUUAUACUAUUAUUAUACUACAUCAACUAUCCAUAUUAUCCAUAUUCUUCUGCUAAUGAAAUAGUAAAGAAAAUUAUCGAACAAAGAGAUAAAGUGCGGUUAAUGAAAAACAAUAAUGCUUCCAAAACUGAUAUUGAAGAACAAGUAAAAGUUCUAUUAACAUUAAAAAAUGAUUAUAAAUCAAUGACUGGUAAAGAAUAUCAACCUCCAACUGUAAAUGGCAGAUCAUCAACAACAUCAG